ACUCAAAGAUGAGGGAAUUUUCUGAUCAAAUUUUUGAACCUCUCCCAAGCUUCAUAAAGUGAUUUUGACUCAUGUUGCAUACAAGAAGUGAUAUCAUUCCUCAACUU
This is a small nucleolar RNA of Humulus lupulus (European hop), 107 nucleotides long. NCBI's taxonomy places the organism in Eukaryota, Viridiplantae, Streptophyta, Magnoliopsida, Rosales, Cannabaceae. The record is from RefSeq and is a predicted model, not a curated record.